GAAUGCUGACAUAAGUAACGAUAAUGCGGGUGAAAAACCCGCACGCCGGAAGACCAAGGGUUCCUGUCCAACGUUAAUCGGGGCAGGGUGAGUCGACCCCUAAGGCGAGGCUGAAAAGCGUAGUCGAUGGGCAACGGGUUAAUAUUCCCGUACUGGUGGUAACUGCGAAGGGGGGACGGAGAAAGCUAAAUCAUCCGGGCGACGGUUGUCCCGGUUUAAGCGUGCAGGUGGACUGACCAGGCAAAUCCGGUCGGUUGUUAACACUGAGGCGUGACGACGAGCCACUACGGUGGUGAAGUGAUUGAUGCUCUGCUUCCGGGAAAAGCCUCUAAGCUCCAGGUUACCAUUAAUCGUACCCCAAACCGACACAGGUGGUCAGGUAGAGAAUACUCAGGCGCUUGAGAGAACUCGGGUGAAGGAACUAGGCAAAAUGGUGCCGUAACUUCGGGAGAAGGC
This 456-nucleotide ribosomal RNA is filed under the name Morganella morganii. Its description in RNAcentral is "partial 23S ribosomal RNA". It matches the Rfam family "Bacterial large subunit ribosomal RNA", at positions 1292 to 1747 of the family's 2925-position model. RNAcentral also lists the same sequence under 1 other name. The record is from RNAcentral. Lineage: Bacteria; Pseudomonadati; Pseudomonadota; Gammaproteobacteria; Enterobacterales; Morganellaceae.